This 497-nucleotide ribosomal RNA is filed under the name uncultured bacterium. RNAcentral's name for it is "partial 16S ribosomal RNA". It matches the Rfam family "Bacterial small subunit ribosomal RNA", at positions 28 to 507 of the family's 1533-position model. The record is from RNAcentral.
GAUGAACGCUGGCGGCGUGCCUAAUACAUGCAAGUCGAGCGAACGGACGAGAAGCUUGCUUCUCUGAUGUUAGCGGCGGACGGGUGAGUAACACGUGGAUAACCUACCUAUAAGACUGGGAUAACUUCGGGAAACCGGCGCUAAUACCGGAUAAUAUUUUGAACCGCAUGGUUCAAAAGUGAAAGACGGUCUUGCUGUCACUUAUAGAUGGAUCCGCGCUGCAUUAGCUAGUCGGUAAGGUAACGGCUUACCAAGGCAACGAUGCAUAGCCGACCUGAGAGGGUGAUCGGCCACACUGGAACUGAGACACGGUCCAGACUCCUACGGGAGGCAGCAGUAGGGAAUCGUCCGCAAUGGGCGAAAGCCUGACGGAGCAACGCCGCGUGAGUGAUGAAGGUCUUCGGAUCGUAAAACUCUGUUAUGAGGGAAGAACAUAUGUGUAAGUAGCUGUGCACAUCUUGACGGUACCUAAUCAGAAAGCCACGGCUAACUACGUG